This 1239-nucleotide ribosomal RNA is filed under the name metagenome. RNAcentral describes it as "bacterial LSU rRNA". It matches the Rfam family "Bacterial large subunit ribosomal RNA", at positions 1564 to 2813 of the family's 2925-position model. The record is from RNAcentral.
UGAGUACGAGAUGCUACGGCGUCGAAGCAGUCUAUGUCAUACUUCCAAGAAAAGCUUGCACUGUCAUAAACAAAUAAUGCCUGUACCAUAACCGACACAGGUGGGUAGGUAGAGUAUACUAAGGGGCGCGAGAUAACUCUCUCUAGGAACUCGGCAAAAUGACUCCGUAACUUCGGGAGAAGGAGUGCCUUAUUUUAUAAGGUUGCAAUAACAAGAUCCAAGCAACUGUUUACCAAAAACACAGGUCUCCGCUAAGUCGUAAGACGAUGUAUGGGGGCUGACGCCUGCCCAGUGCCAGAAGGUUAAAGAAGUCGGUUAGUUUACGCGAAGCUGGUAACUGAAGCCCUGGUGAACGGCGGCCGUAACUAUAACGGUCCUAAGGUAGCGAAAUUCCUUGUCGGGUAAGUUCCGACCCGCACGAAAGGCGUAAUGAUUUGGAUACUGUCUCGGAGAGGGACUCGGUGAAAUAGACUUGUCUGUGAAGAUGCGGACUACCUGCACCAGGACAGAAAGACCCUAUGAAGCUUUACUGUAACUUGAAAUUGAAGUUGGACUUUACUUGCGCAGUAUAGGUGGGAGGCUUUGAGAAUAUUCUUGCGGGAAUAUUGGAGCCAUUAGUGAGAUACCACUCUGGUAAUGUUAGAUUUCUAACUUUGAAUCAUUAUCUGGUCAAAGAACAGUUUCAGGCGGGCAGUUUGACUGGGGCGGUCGCCUCCUAAACGGUAACGGAGGCGCACAAAGGUUUCCUCUGAACGGGUAGAAAUCGUAUCUAGAGUGUAAAGGCAUAAGGAAGCUUGACUGUGAGACCUACAAGUCGAGCAGGGACGAAAGUCGGUCUUAGUGAUCUGACGGUGCUGAGUGGAAAGGCCGUCACUCAACGGAUAAAAGUUACUCUAGGAUAACAGGCUGAUCUCCCCCAAGAGUUCACAUCGACGGGGAGGUUUGGCACCUCGAUGUCGGCUCAUCGCAUCCUGGGGCGGUAGUACGUCCCAAGGGUUGGGCUGUUCGCCCAUGAAAGCGGUACGCGAGCUGGGUUCAGAACGUCGUGAGACAGUUCGGUCCAUAUCCGGUGUAGGCGUUAGAAUAUUGAGAGGAGCCUUCUUUAGUACGAGAGGACCGAGAAGGAUGCACCUCUGGUGUACCAGUUAUUGUGCCAACAGUAAACGCUGGGUAGCUAUGUGUGGAGUGGAUAACCGCUGAAAGCAUCUAAGUGGGAAGCCCACCUCAAGAUAAGUAUUC